CGUCACAGCACAGUCGACAGGGACGGUUACUCUUGUCCCAGUUGGGCAGCUCUUGCCUGGCAUCAACAGGAUUCACGCCGUCACUGCUCUCGAUCACUUU
Molecule: long non-coding RNA, 100 nt
Organism: Gopherus evgoodei (Goodes thornscrub tortoise)
Lineage: Eukaryota; Metazoa; Chordata; Testudines; Testudinidae
Exons: 4
Source: RefSeq, a predicted model, not a curated record